AGACUCUCUGACAGGGCAUCAUCUAUCAGGAACUCCAGGAGCUCUCUGAUGACUUUGACUGUGUCAUCGUUGGAGCUCACUAGAUGAUAUGGAAUGAAUUCAGAUUAAAGCUCAUAUUAAUGUGAAUUCCUGCUUUUAUAUUCACUAAACGUGUUACUAUCAUCUCACUAUCUGGUGAUUUCCUUUACUUACCCAGAUGUUCCUCUAGAGUGUCCUCCACAGUCUCGGCCAGAGGCUGGAGACUCUCUGACAGGGCAUCAUCUAUCAGGAUCUCCAGGAGCUCUCUGAUGACUUUGACUGUGUCAUCAUUGGAGCUCACUAGAUGAUAUGGAAUGAAUUCAGAUUAAAGCUCAUAUUAAUGUGAAUUCCUGCUUUUAUAUUCACUAAAUGUGUUACUAUCAUCUCACUAUCUGGUGAUUUCCUUUACUUACCCAGAUGUUCCUCUAGAGUGUCCUCCACAGUCUCGGCCAGAGGCCGGAGACUCUCUGACAGGGCAUCAUCAAAGAGGAUCUCCAGGAGCUCUCUGAUGACUUUGACUGUGUCAUCGUUGGAGCUCACUGGAUGAUCUUGAAUGAAUUCAGAGAGAUAAGAGCUCAUGUUUAGCUUUGAUAUGGACUAAAUGUGUUGUUUUCAUCCCACUAUCCUCUCAUUUUCCUUACUUACCUCGAUGUUUCUCCUCACACUCCUCCGGAACGAUGUUCAUGGUGUUGGUGGCUUCAUGAGCCACUGCAAUCUGCGCAGUCUCAGCUUCUGUUUUCAUAAAAACACAGUCAGUUGUAACGGACACUGAAUAUUAUUCAGUCUGGAAAUGAUUUCAAAAACACCCUCUUAUUUUCCAGAUAUUACUCAAACGAUUCCGUAUGAAUUAUGAAUUUUUCCAUAUUUCAUAUGAAUUCAGGAUUUACUAUGAAUGUCAUGUACUGAGAAUUACUCAGUCACUGCUGUGAACGUUCCGUGAUGGUUCUGAAAUAUUCUUUACCUCCUAUGAUUUAUUCAAUCUGAAUAAAUGUGGAUUAUACGGCA
Pygocentrus nattereri (red-bellied piranha) is the source of this 1023-nucleotide long non-coding RNA. RefSeq lists it as uncharacterized. The record is from RefSeq and is a predicted model, not a curated record. The transcript has 3 exons. NCBI's taxonomy places the organism in Eukaryota, Metazoa, Chordata, Actinopteri, Characiformes, Serrasalmidae.